UACGAGGGGGGCUAGCGUUGCUCGGAAUUACUGGGCGUAAAGGGCUCGUAGGCGGCCAACUAAGUCGGAUGUGAAAUCCCCAGGCUUAACCUGGGAACUGCAUCCGAUACUGGAUGGCUUGAAUCCGGGAGAGGGAUGCAGAAUUCCAGGUGUAGCGGUGAAAUGCGUAGAUAUCUGGAGGAAUACCGGUGGCGAAGGCGGCAUCCUGGACCGGCAUUGACGCUGAGUGAGCGAAAGCCAGGGGAGCAAACGGG
RNAcentral lists this ribosomal RNA (254 nucleotides) under uncultured bacterium. RNAcentral's name for it is "partial 16S ribosomal RNA". It matches the Rfam family "Bacterial small subunit ribosomal RNA", at positions 524 to 776 of the family's 1533-position model. The record is from RNAcentral.